This 506-nucleotide ribosomal RNA is filed under the name uncultured bacterium. Its description in RNAcentral is "partial 16S ribosomal RNA". It matches the Rfam family "Bacterial small subunit ribosomal RNA", at positions 29 to 523 of the family's 1533-position model. The record is from RNAcentral.
AUUGAACGCUGGCGGCAGGCCUAACACAUGCAAGUCGAACGGCAGCACAGAAGAGCUUGCUCUUUGGGUGGCGAGUGGCGGACGGGUGAGUGAUGUCUGGGAAACUGCCCGAUGGAGGGGGAUAACUACUGGAAACGGUAGCUAAUACCGCAUAACGUCGCGAGACCAAAGUGGGGGACCUUCGGGCCUCACACCAUCGGAUGUGCCCAGAUGGGAUUAGCUAGUAGGUGGGGUAAUGGCUCACCUAGGCGACGAUCCCAAGCUGGUCUGAGAGGAUGACCCGCCACACUGGAACUGAGACACGGUCCAGAAUCCUACGGGAGGCAGCAGUGGGGAAUAUUGCACAAUGGGCGCAAGCCUGAUGCAGCCAUGCCGCGUGUAUGAAGAAGGCCUUCGGGUUGUAAAGUACUUUCAGCGGGGAGGAAGGCGGUGAGGUUAAUAACCUCGCCGAUUGACGUUACCCGCAGAAGAAGCACCGGCUAACUCCGUGCCAGCCGCCGCGGUAA